GGUCAUGAGUACCAGCGCAAAGCCCCGGCUAGCUGGUCGGCAACCCUCCACCGCGGUGGGGUGCCCCGGGUGAUGACCGGGUUUCCUGAUCCAUAUAGACAUUCGGGUAACAAGCGCAGGUC
Molecule: non-coding RNA, 122 nt
Filed under: Rhodococcus sp. (in: high G+C Gram-positive bacteria)
Lineage: Bacteria; Bacillati; Actinomycetota; Actinomycetes; Mycobacteriales; Nocardiaceae
Also listed under: 1 other name
Description: Rhodococcus sp. SAM-IV sequence
Rfam family: SAM (S-adenosyl methionine) riboswitch aptamer
About the family: SAM-IV is a mRNA element that regulates gene expression via direct sensing of S-adenosylmethionine (SAM or AdoMet). SAM-IV riboswitches share conserved nucleotide positions with the previously described SAM-I riboswitches sequence analysis and molecular recognition experiments suggest that SAM-I and SAM-IV riboswitches share similar ligand binding sites, but have different scaffolds.
Source: RNAcentral